AGUGAACGCUGGCGGUAGGCCUAACACAUGCAAGUCGAACGGCAGCACAGUAAGAGCUUGCUCUUACGGGUGGCGAGUGGCGGACGGGUGAGGAAUACAUCGGAAUCUACUUUUUCGUGGGGGAUAACGUAGGGAAACUUACGCUAAUACCGCAUACGACCUACGGGUGAAAGCAGGGGAUCUUCGGACCUUGCGCGAUUGAAUGAGCCGAUGUCGGAUUAGCUAGUUGGCGGGGUAAAGGCCCACCAAGGCGACGAUCCGUAGCUGGUCUGAGAGGAUGAUCAGCCACACUGGAACUGAGACACGGUCCAGACUCCUACGGGAGGCAGCAGUGUGGAAUGUUGGACAAUGGGCGCAAGCCUGAUCCAGCCAUACCGCGUGGGUGAAGAAGGCCUUCGGGUUGUAAAGCCCUUUUGUUGGGAAAGAAAAGCAGCAGGUUAAUACCCCGCUGUUCUGACGGUACCCAAAGAAUAAGCACCGGCUAACUUCGUG
RNAcentral lists this ribosomal RNA (492 nucleotides) under uncultured bacterium. Its description in RNAcentral is "partial 16S ribosomal RNA". It matches the Rfam family "Bacterial small subunit ribosomal RNA", at positions 29 to 507 of the family's 1533-position model. The record is from RNAcentral.